CUAAUUACUCUACACGCCUCCUCUGUUUCUCUCUCACACUCAGUAACUCUCUCUCUCUCUCACUCGUUCAAUCUUUCUUUCUUUCUCUCUGUUUGUUGCAGGUGUGUAACAAGGUGAUGGGGCCUGCGGCUUGGGUCAUGUGACAGGGAGGCUCGACUCUUGGGUCUACGGCGUGGCUGUCUUCCUCCGUCUCAUCUACCACAACUUCCCUCCCCAUGUUUCGCCGACUCCGACGGAGAUUGACUUGCAGAGCAAUGGUCCAGCAGGCUGUACAGGGAGGAGCUCCAGCUGCUUACGCCCAAGAAAUGGAGAGGCUAACCGCUAAAGAAUCCCUUCUUCUUGCUGUUGCCAUUCUUGGAGGGUCGGUGGGAUUUUUUUCAGGGCUGAUGUCUUCCACGCAGUAGUUGAGGACAACAUCAACACCAGAAAUGGCGAUGGUUUGGCUGAUGAUCAUAGUCAUGAGAACCGAAGUGAUAGCUCUGAUGCUCAUCCAGGAGUUGAAGAGAGUGAUUCUUCUGAAGAUGAGGUUGCUCCUCGAAAUACAAUUGGAGAUGUGCCCUUGGUGUGGUAUCGGGAUGAAAAACAUAUUGGUUAUGA
Molecule: long non-coding RNA, 597 nt
Organism: Humulus lupulus (European hop)
Lineage: Eukaryota; Viridiplantae; Streptophyta; Magnoliopsida; Rosales; Cannabaceae
Exons: 4
Source: RefSeq, a predicted model, not a curated record